Molecule: long non-coding RNA, 858 nt
Filed under: Zonotrichia albicollis (white-throated sparrow)
Lineage: Eukaryota; Metazoa; Chordata; Aves; Passeriformes; Passerellidae
Description: lncRNA (ENSZALG00000008845.1)
Source: RNAcentral
CAGAGAGAGAGAGGAGCAGCAUGCUGAGGAGGAGCAGGUGUGAUGCAUGAAUAAACUGCUCCUUGGCACCCUGUGGGAUACUGAUGAAACAAAUAGAAUUUCCCCAGGCAUGGAUAAUACAAGAACAGCAGACACUUUUUCACAGUUAAGCCAGGAAAAAAUCCUCAAAAUCAUGAACAUGGUGAAAAACAAAGAAGUGAGCAUUGAGGCAGCUCUGCAUUUGGCACAGAAGGAGGGGUAUGCUGAAAAGGAUCCCCAGGAUUUGUUAACUGGGUCCCAAUUUAACUUCAUUAUCUACAAAUACAAACACUACCGCUGGCAGAAACGGAUUCUGCAGCUGGAUUUCAGCAGCAGGACCAUUUUCAACAUCGAGAAGGGCACUAUCAGGAAGCAGUUCCCUUUCUCCCAAGUGAGGGGCUGCGAGGACUCGGAGAGGAGGCGUUUCAGCAUCCUGUUCCACGGCAGGCAGCACUACGAGCUGGAGGCUGUGUCCCUGGAGGACAAGAGGAAGAUAAUCUACCUGCUGAGCAGAGUUAUUCAGAGCAAUUCUUACAAGAGACCAGUGGAGUCCUGGCCUGGGAGAGCUGCAGAAUGUGAUGUGAUCCAUGAAGGGCUGCUGGAUUUGCAGGAGAACACCUUAACCUCCACUGAAUGGGUGAAGUAUGAGCUCUGGCUUUCCUUAAAACUUCUGAUAGAUGCAUUUAGAUUUGAAUGUGCUGAUAAGAACUUUAUUAUUUAGUUGUUUUUUAAAUGCAAAGGUAGAUGCCCAGUCUGCAUGAGAUGGAAGCACUGCAAUGACCUGUCAGGGCAGGAGUGGUACCCAAAAAACCAAAGUUGUGAUCUGGAGCCUGCUGGGAG